CUUGUACACACCGCCCGUCAAGCGAUGGAAGUUGGGAGGACCUGAAGGCAGUUGUUGCAAGACGCUGUUUAGGGUUAAACCGAUAACUGGCGCUAAGUCGUAACAAGGUAGCCGUACCGGAAGGUGCGGCUGGAACACCUCCUUUCUGGAGCU
Molecule: ribosomal RNA, 153 nt
Filed under: Pseudomonadota bacterium
Lineage: Bacteria; Pseudomonadati; Pseudomonadota
Also listed under: 1 other name
Description: Proteobacteria bacterium partial 16S ribosomal RNA
Rfam family: Bacterial small subunit ribosomal RNA
Source: RNAcentral